This 448-nucleotide ribosomal RNA is filed under the name uncultured bacterium. RNAcentral describes it as "partial 16S ribosomal RNA". It matches the Rfam family "Bacterial small subunit ribosomal RNA", at positions 329 to 794 of the family's 1533-position model. The record is from RNAcentral.
CACCAGACUCCUACGGGAGGCAGCAGUGGGGAAUAUUGCACAAUGGGGGAAACCCUGAUGCAGCGACGCCGCGUGAGUGAAGAAGUAUUUCGGUAUGUAAAGCUCUAUCAGCAGGGAAGAAAAUGACGGUACCUGACUAAGAAGCCCCGGCUAACUACGUGCCAGCAGCCGCGGUAAUACGUAGGGGGCAAGCGUUAUCCGGAUUUACUGGGUGUAAAGGGAGCGUAGACGGCAUGGCAAGUCAGAUGUGAAAGCCCGCGGCCCAACCGCGGGACUGCAUUGGGAACUGGCGCGCUGGAGUGCCGGAGGGGUAGGCGGAAUUCCUAGUGUAGCGGUGAAAUGCGUAGAUAUUAGGAGGAACACCAGUGGCGAAGGCGGCCUACUGGACGGUGACUGACGCUGAGGCUCGAAAGCGUGGGGAGCAAACAGGAUUAGAUACCCCGGUACA